UACAGAGGUCUCAAGCGUUGUUCGGAUUCAUUGGGCGUAAAGGGUGUGUAGGUGGCGCCGUAAGUCGGGUGUGAAAUUUCGGAGCUUAACUCCGAAACUGCAUUCGAUACUGCGGUGCUUGAGGACUGGAGAGGAGACUGGAAUUCAUGGUGUAGCAGUGAAAUGCGUAGAGAUCAUGAGGAAGACCAGUGGCGAAGGCGGGUCUCUGGACAGUUCCUGACACUGAGACGCGAAAGCGUGGGGAGCGAACAGG
This 253-nucleotide ribosomal RNA is filed under the name uncultured bacterium. RNAcentral's name for it is "partial 16S ribosomal RNA". It matches the Rfam family "Bacterial small subunit ribosomal RNA", at positions 524 to 776 of the family's 1533-position model. The record is from RNAcentral.